This is a small nucleolar RNA of Suncus etruscus (white-toothed pygmy shrew), 131 nucleotides long. RefSeq annotates it as small nucleolar RNA SNORA51. The record is from RefSeq and is a predicted model, not a curated record. Lineage: Eukaryota; Metazoa; Chordata; Mammalia; Eulipotyphla; Soricidae. The transcript has a single exon.
GGCUUCCCAAUUAUUAUCACAACUUGUUUUCUUUACACAGACUAUAUAGAAAAAGGAGGUAUAGUAAAUGCUCCCCAUAUGCACCUCAAUCAAGCCCUUUGCUGGUCUGUAUUGUGAAUUGGGGGACAAAA